Molecule: ribosomal RNA, 163 nt
Filed under: uncultured bacterium
Lineage: Bacteria
Description: partial 16S rRNA
Rfam family: Bacterial small subunit ribosomal RNA
Source: RNAcentral
CAGGGAAUCUUCCACAAUGGACGCAAGUCUGAUGGAGCAACGCCGCGUGAGUGAAGAAGGGUUUCGGCUCGUAAAGCUCUGUUGUUAAAGAAGAACGUGGGUAAGAGUAACUGUUUACCCAGUGACGGUAUUUAACCAGAAAGCCACGGCUAACUACGUGCCA